Molecule: ribosomal RNA, 546 nt
Filed under: Chlorophyllum nothorachodes
Lineage: Eukaryota; Fungi; Basidiomycota; Agaricomycetes; Agaricales; Agaricaceae
Description: partial 18S ribosomal RNA
Rfam family: 5.8S ribosomal RNA (bases 267-420)
Source: RNAcentral
GGUUGUUGCUGGCUCUCCGGAGUAUGUGCACACUUGUCUUGAUUUCAUUUCAUCCACCUGUGCACCAUUUGUAGUCUUGGGAAUGGAUAUGAGCAGCCAAUCUCUCAGGAAGUCAUAUUCCUGGAUGUGAGGACUGCAGUGUGAAAACACGGCUUUUCCUCUGCUGGCUGUGAAUGUCUGCUUGGGACUAUGUAUUUAUUCAUAUACCACAUAGUAUGUUGUAGAAUGUAUCACAUGGGCCAUUUGUGCCUAUAGAAUGUAUAUACAACUUUCAGCAACGGAUCUCUUGGCUCUCGCAUCGAUGAAGAACGCAGCGAAAUGCGAUAAGUAAUGUGAAUUGCAGAAUUCAGUGAAUCAUCGAAUCUUUGAACGCACCUUGCGCUCCUUGGCAUUCCGAGGAGCAUGCCUGUUUGAGUGUCAUUAAAUUCUCAACUCCUCCAGCUCUUUUGUAGCUGGCUUUGGAGCUUGGAUCAUGGAGGUUGCUGGCUGCCUUGUAUUGGUUGGUCAGCUCCUCUGAAAAUGCAUUAGCGGAACCAUUUGCAAUCU